GAACGAACGCUGGCGGAAUGCCUAACACAUGCAAGUCGAACGAGACCUUCGGGUCUAGUGGCGCACGGGUGCGUAACACGUGGGAAUUUGCCUCGGGGUAUGGAAUAACUCAGGGAAACUUGAGCUAAUACCAUAUAAUGUCUUCGGACCAAAGAUUUAUCGCCCUGAGAUAAGCCCGCGCAGGAUUAGCUAGUUGGUGGGGUAAAGGCUCACCAAGGCGACGAUCCUUAGCUGGUCUGAGAGGAUGAUCAGCCACACUGGGACUGAGACACGGCCCAGACUCCUACGGGAGGCAGCAGUGGGGGAAUAUUGGACAAUGGGCGAAAGCCUGAUCCAGCAAUGCCGCGUGAGUGAUGAAGGCCUUCGGGUUGUAAAGCUCUUUUACUCGGGACGAUAAUGACGGUACCGAGAGAAUAAGCCCCGGCUAACUCCGUG
This 435-nucleotide ribosomal RNA is filed under the name uncultured bacterium. RNAcentral's name for it is "bacterial SSU rRNA". It matches the Rfam family "Bacterial small subunit ribosomal RNA", at positions 27 to 507 of the family's 1533-position model. The record is from RNAcentral.